This is a long non-coding RNA of Pseudopipra pipra, 259 nucleotides long. RefSeq lists it as uncharacterized. The transcript has 3 exons. NCBI's taxonomy places the organism in Eukaryota, Metazoa, Chordata, Aves, Passeriformes, Pipridae. The record is from RefSeq and is a predicted model, not a curated record.
GCAUUUGUCUGUCAUGAUUGAUGUUUGUCAUGAUGUACUGCACAAACAUCUUUAAAAACACUGGAUGCUGCUACUUUCCAGAGCUGCUUAAAAGAAUUGUCAUGUCUCAGCUAAAAUGGAAAAGAAUUGCUCAUCUGAGGCAAAGAGCUCUCACAGAGCUUGUCUUCAAAAUCGGUAAUCAGAAGUGACUGCUCUUCAGGAGAUCAGAGCUUCCAAUGUAUCAUGCUGGGCUUCUAUUCUACCAGAGGAUGAAAUGACU